This 392-nucleotide unclassified non-coding RNA is filed under the name fungal sp. RNAcentral describes it as "partial internal transcribed spacer region". The stretch from base 1 to 46 matches the Rfam family "Eukaryotic small subunit ribosomal RNA", at positions 1786 to 1831 of the family's 1831-position model. The record is from RNAcentral. Lineage: Eukaryota; Fungi.
AAGUCGUAACAAGGUUUCCGUAGGUGAACCUGCGGAAGGAUCAUUAACACGUAUCCAAACGUUAAAACAACCCUGUGAACCUUAAUUCGUGAUCUUGCAGGCAGCUAAAACAGCAAUCCCUCGUAAAACAGGCGCUAAAGAAUUACAGAUAUUGAUUUGAGGGAAUUCUGUCAGUACGCUGACGCUGCAAUCGAGCGCUAGAUAAAGCACCCUGGUACCCUCGAGCAAUCACCUGUCUGAAAGCGUCAAGUGAUCAAUGUUCUAGGUCCACACGACCGGCGACCGGGGUGGCGGCGAAAGUCCCUACGUCACACCAUGCACCCUCCGGGACUUGGCGAAAGCUGACUCCGUCAUAAAUCGAACAACUGUUAACAAUGGAUAUCUUGGUUCUC